RNA transcript from Myxocyprinus asiaticus (Chinese sucker), 6917 nucleotides. It is a transcript of the gene named inositol polyphosphate-5-phosphatase A-like, with no coding region annotated. NCBI's taxonomy places the organism in Eukaryota, Metazoa, Chordata, Actinopteri, Cypriniformes, Catostomidae. The record is from RefSeq and is a predicted model, not a curated record. The transcript is spliced from 17 exons.
GCAGAACAUGUACAGGGCGGAGCUUCACAUGUCGUGAAACAUAACACUGGCAGCGCAACUAGUUUGGUUCAGUCUGGCACGCCAGGAACUCAAAGGCUACUCGUGCUCUGACGCUGGGUUAAUACAGCUUAGAAACCUAGUCCAAUUACCAUGAAGAGCGGAGGAGAAAUCAAACUGAAGAGAAAGAGCUCAAUGUGAAUGUGAACAGGGAGACUGACAGCAUGCACAGAGAUGCGCGCGACGCACUUGCGGGCUCAGUGUUCAGCGCGAGAUAGUCUUUUCUAAUCUUAUCUUUAAGCCGUUUGUUAUUACUCCACUAAAAGGCAGCGACUGUGAUUUCCUUCAUCAGAUUAGACUUUUCUGGGACUAUCCUUUGCAGCUCGGACCUUAUCAUGGAGACGUAUACGGACGUCUUGCUAGUCACUGCAAACGUUGGAUCACUGUUUGACAAUGUGGGUGAGAUUGAAAAAGACUGGCUGCGAGAGCUCUUCACGACGGUACACAGGUACAAGCCAUGCUUCGUCGCCCUACACUUUCAGGAAGUCGGUGGAAAGGACUAUAUGGUUAACAUGGGCCACGCAGAAAACUUCUUCUGGACCGUAGAGUCCAGCUCUGAGAUGAAAGACUUUGACAGAGUUUGUGUCUAUGUAGACAGUCAUUUCAAGGCUGUUGACAGUUUCACGGCUCUGGGAAGCAUGUAUUUCAUCCACAAGUCACUGAAAAAUAUCCAACAAUACGACUUCAAUGCUAAGGAGUUUAAAACCGUGUCGGGGCACAACAUGUAUGUGGGCUCCCUGGAGGGAGUAACAACGGUGGAAAAGGAGAAAUUCCCGAAGAAUUUCUGGCCAGAUUUCAAGUGGUCCAGAAAAGGCUAUAUGAGGACACGGUGGAUCAUUCACAACCAGGGUUUAGACCUGGUGAAUGUUCACCUAUUUCACGAUGCCUCCAACCUCAUAGCCUGCAACUCUAGUCCGUCAGUGUAUUCUGCAAACCGCGAGAAAGCUUUCAGAUACGUCAUCAACAGGAUAUCAGAGAGCAGCUACUGUCCUCUCCCCUUCUUUCUGUUUGGAGAUUUUAAUUUCCGGCUUGACACACUCAGUCUAGUGCAGAACCUCUCCAUGUCUGCUGAUAUCCAGACAGUUAAAAAAGACAGUACCAAUGAGGUGGAAAAGAUCAUUUGUGAAGAGAAAGACAAUGACCACAAGGUCCUACUUCAGAUAGAGACCAAGUUAUUUGCUUACUUGCACGAGGCCGUGUUCAGAGAAAAUGACGGAAAAGAGCUCCUGAAGUAUGAUAAGGAAAUGUCUGCUUUCCAUGAUGUCAUCGCAGAGGAGGAUAUUCAGUUUCCUCCAAGUUACCCGUACAGUGAAGACUACACUAAACCUACACAAUACAUGAACACACGAUGCCCAGCAUGGUGUGACCGCAUCCUAAUGUCCCACAGUGCGAGAGACAUCAUCCAUCGGAGGGAGGAGGGUGAAAGUGUUGUUUAUAACACAUUGGGCUCCAACGUCUGCAUGGGGGACCACAAGCCUGUUUUCCUGUUUUUUACAAUGAAGACGAUUGCACAUUGACACACAGUUGUGUGAAUCAAAGGAACAAUCAUGAGUCUCAUGGAAUAAUUUAUUACACUUCUGAAUUCUACUUUUGUGUUCUUUUGAAGCUUGAAGAGGUGGUUUCUGUGUUGUUGACAUGAACCCAGAGUUUAUUCCGUGGACAGCUGGACCAGUCAUUCCAUGGCUGUACAACAAGCACACGCUCUUUGCUCAUUCACACAGGCGGUCAAUAAACAGACCUCUGCAAAACUCAUUCAGAUGCAGCGCACCACAGAGGACCCUGAAAUCUCCUGUCAAAUUCAGUGGACACACACCACAGGACCUGUUUAUAUUCCGACAGCUAUGUUCUCUGGUUAUAUUUUCAUCAUGUUUUGGAUUUCAGAACUUCACAAAUGCUCAAUGUGACUUCAGGAAUCUCUGAACAUAAAUACAUACUCGUGUAUGUAGAGAAACAGCUCUCAAGUCACGUCUUGAAGCUCUUUACUCCUCACAUUUACAAGCAAUUAAGCUUUAGACUUUGCAUAGAGGAUGUAACCUCGUGCAAAUUGUAAUUGCAUGCUUUUUCAAUUACAGCACAAUUCAUUUUCUUUUAUUCAUUGUUUUUGGAAGGAUUUGAAUACAAGUAUGCUGACAAUUACACCAUAUCCAAACGUGAGCUGCUGUGACACACAAGCUUUGGCUUCUGUAUUAAUUCAUCAUCGUUUUUCUUUGACAGUCAUGUUCGGUUUCUUAUGUGUGCUGAGUGUAUGAGUGUGGUUUGAUGCAGUAGUCUUUAAUAGGGAACAUUCUGGUAAAACACUGAAUAAUUUACUCACCCGCAUGUCGUUCCAUACCUGUAUGACUUUCUUUCUUCCGUGGAACACAAAAGGAGACGUUAGACAGAAUGUUCAGUCUCAGUCAUUGCAUGGGUGGGGGGGAAAUGCAAUGGAAGUGGUGACUGAGGCUAACGUCUCUUGUCGUGUUCCACGAAAGAAAAAGAGUCAUACUGCUUUGGAACAACAUGAGAGUGAGUAAAUGAUGACAUAAUUUUCAUUUUUGGGUAAACUGUUCCUUUAAGCCUCAGCAGUUAUAGCUGUCAUCUUCUCUUAAGCUCCAGUCAUUGUCUCUGUGGGGUUGUUAGUCAGACACUCGGAUCAAUAGAAUAUGUACAGGACAGCAAGGGACAAGUUAAAAAGCCAUUAGCACUUGUGAAUUAUGGAAAUCCCACACAAAGAGUCCUGGCCUGGAAGCGCCCCUGACUUUUAAUUAGAGCACUAGUGCAAUGCCGAAUGAUAAUGUGGAGUGUAGCAUUCAGAGAUGUGUGUACAGUAUGUGUGUUUUUAACAAUUUCUAAUCCAUGAUGAGGUGUGUUUUAAUUUGGUUUGAAUUUCUGUGUUGGGUUCUGUGACAGAUUACAGUGCAUUUUCAGUGCUAAAAUCAUAAAAUAAAAGUUGCAUUAUUUUCUUUAACAAAGAAUAUGCACAUCAAAUAAUGUACAGUUGAUUCAGUGUAGUCCGCUGAAGCAAUUGUCUUGGUAAUGUGCUGUCCAACAUGCACAUUUUCAAACCAAGUUUUUAUUUCCAGGACAAAUGCUUUUAGAGAAAUAAGCGUCUAAUACGCCUGUUUGGAAAUGAAUGCUGAUGUCAGUUAAUGGCUUAGAACAAACCACUUAAAGGUGAAGUGUGUCAUUUCUGCGCCACUAGAGCCACCAAAUGCAGUCACAAAAAAAUUAUGUUUUCAAACAGGUUUCCCAAACACUCCCCUUAUCUGCCAUUGGUCUGACAAAAAUUUGUCACUCCUGGUAUUUGGGAACUGAUAACUGGUUCUUAUUCGGAACUGGAUCCAUUUUUUUAUUUUUUUUAUUUUUUUACAAAUGCAGAAACCAAAUAAUUUUCAUAUCUUUCGGUUCUGUUAGCAGUUCUUGAAUGUGCAUUUUUCUGCCAAUGUGGAUGGAACAGCGUACUAAAAUACUCUAACAGUGUUUCUUGCUGUGCUAUUCAGCAUCAGCGCUGCCUCUCUACUGAAUCUACAGCACGAAACACACAGUACAGUCCAGUUCCCGAAUGAAUGACUCUUAUGAGCCGUUUCAUAUGAAUAUAGUGCGAAACACACAGCACUACAAGUGUAGUUUGCUUUCCAAACAAACAACUUUCAUGAGCUGGUUCCUUAGAAACAUACUGCAAAACCAGUGUAGUCCAAUUCCUAAACGAAUGCCUCUUAUGAGUCGAUUUUUUUAAAUUUACAGCAUGAAACACACAGCACGACCAGUGUAGUCCAAUUCCCAAAUGACUGACUCUCAUGAGCUUUUUCUUAUGAAUCUAGAGCGCAAAACAAACAAUGCUGGAAGUGUUGUACACUUUCCAAACAAUUGACUCUGAUGAGCUUUUUCUUCUGAAUAAGCGCAAAACACAACCCUACAAGUCUAGUACGUUUUCCAAAAAAUUUACUAUUAUGAGCUUUUUCUCAUGAAUCUAGAGUGCGAAAUGCAGCACUACAAGUGUAGUCCGAUUCCGAACAAAUGACUCUUAUGAGCCGGUUCUUCAGAAUCGACAGCGCGAAACAUAAAGUGCAACCAGUGUAGUCUGAUUCCCAAACAAAGGACUCUUUUGAGCUAGUUAUUUUUAGUGAAUCAAAAACACUGAGAUUCAGAAAUUACAGGUUACUGAAUUAAUCUCACUGACCUAGAAGUCAUGAUAAUAAUGAAAUGUUAGCUAAAUUUUUGUUUGAAUAGAAUAUUGAAUAUAGUUAGAGUACACUCAAAAAAUGAAGCCAUUACCCUUAAUUGAAUUUGAGAAAGUUUUUACAUACAAUUUAAUUUAGUUAAUUCAUAUUAAGUCAACAUAAUUUAGUUAAAUUAGGUCAAUUCAAUGUACUUUAGUAGUUUUAACUCAAUUUUGUUAGGUUCGUACUCAAUUUAAUAAUGUUUAUUUUAAUUAAUCUUCUUAUGUUGGUACAACUUAAUUUAUUUUAUUAAUCAUUAAUACAUGCCAGGCGAGCAAGUGUAAGGACAGUGAAAUGGUUGCACUGUCAAUUUGAUAGCAGCUGCUUAUAGAGCUAAGCAGUACUUGAAUCAAGACUCACUUGAAAGUGUAAGUUCAUCCUCAACCUAAGCACAAAUGGCAAUCUUCACCACAGUGGUAACCUCCAAAACUCCAGCCUUACAAAACUCUAUUUGAAUACCAAUAUAAUAGAACAUUAAACAUUAACAAAUCUCCUCCUAUUCUCAGCUGGCUCAAACAUGCAUAAAAUAACACUUAAUUUCAAUAUUUGUUCACCCCAUCAAGUCCCAUCCAAAGCAUGCUGGGAAAUGGAAAUCCCCUGCCCAGUUUCAUUAAUGUUACAAAAAGUAUUCAUGUAGUCCCAACUCAAAUGGAUUAAGUAAACUUAAAAUUUACAAAUUUAAUUAGAUGGAAUGCAAUGAAAUCAAGUUGUGACAAAAUGUUCUAGAAUUGUGUUAAGUAAACUGAACAACCUUCAAAAAUAAAUGGAAAGGAACACACGCCAUUGGUUGAGUCAGUGUUGCUACAGCAUGUCGGGCUGCUCAAACAAACAGAGCAAUAUUUUAUAGUCACAGAGACACACUGUUUUACAGUUUUCAGGGAAAUCAACCUGCAAAUAGCUUACUUAUUGUUGUCUCUAUUAAGAGAAAAUGUUAACAUCGAAAAAAUUUACACACUUCACCUUUAACAAGAUGUUGUUCUGACAAAACCUCGAUGCUGUCUGAUAAAUUCAUCUUCACUGAAAACUGGUAGCUGUUUGUUUUAAUAUUGAUGUAAAUGAAUAUGUUCAGUUGCCCCUGAAUAGAUUGGUUUUUCUUGCUGUUUGAGAUUUAGUAUAGAAAAAUUCAGGAUAAUCAUUUAAAAGUAGAUGUGAUGUGCACGUUCAUAUUAUAGGAUUCUGUGUGGUAAUAUACUGGUGUGUACAUUGCUUUAAGCAUAUCUCAUAUGUUUGGUUUGUAAUUUUUGUUUGGAUUGACUUGUAAAUACUCGAUAGGCUGCAUAAUUUAUGUGUGAGGGUUAAAUUGUACGGCCCACCUGUCAAUAAUGGACUUGUUGUAGCUGAUUCAUGAUAUGGUUGACAUAAUUUACUGUUCUCGAGGGCAUCACUUCAAACUGUGCUUCAAUAGGAGGCAAUGGAGUCGGAAUAGGAAUGGCAUUGAUGUAAUUUAGCAUUUGCGAUUAUACAAAGAAACACUACAGUCUUAUGAGAUGUAAUUUAUGUGUCUUUUAGAGCACUGUUAUUAGCAUGCUAAGUACAAAGUGUAUGUAGCCAUUCAUGUUUGCACUUGUUUUGGGGAAUUCGUUUGCAAUGUUUUCAAGAUGUUAGCACAUGUAGAACACAGUAAAAAGGGAGUUUCUUCAAUAGCAGUUAACAUUGCUUAUUUUGAUGUUAACCUUUUUAAAAGUUAUUUUUACCUUCUUUGUCUUUCUGACUUUUUCUAAUAAAUUUAACUUUGUGACAAAAAUGAGGCAAUGUCAUGGGGUCAACCCUGAAUCAAUGCAAAAUAGAAUAAUAUAUAUCAUACAGUGUCUAUCCAUGCAUUGAGAAGAUGGAUUACGUUGUGGUGUGAAAGUUUAAGAUUAAUGCUAACUGCAGGACCAGUGUGUCGAUACAGGUUCCAGACGUUUGGCAUUGGGAAAUUAUGAGUUGUUGUGAAAUCCAUUCAGUGUAAAUGCAUGAAGAAAUUUUACAUGAACAGCCAUAUUCAUACCACAGCCUGCAAAAUAUGAAAAUUGUUGACAUGUAAGCAUCACAUUCUCCGUGAUGAUUCUGUUUUCAUGAUAUUAUUUAGUAAUGUUCUGUUAUUGUCCUAUUUAAUGCAGCUAAGCAGACACAGUCAAAUAUAUAUAUAUAUAUAUAUAUAUAUAUAUAUAUAUAUAUAUAUAUAUAUAUAUUUAGGUUUUUAAAAUUUAAUUAAAUUAAAACAGUACUCAAUUCAAUUUGAUGCAAUAUUGUUAUAAAAUUAAAAAUGCAUAAAUCUUUAAAUUAUUUUUAUUAUUAUUAUUAUUAUUAUUAUUAUUAUUAUUUUGAGCAUAUAAGCGUUUCUUGACCUUCUAAGUGAUGUAAGUACACAAUGUUUAAUACAGUGCCAAAUAUGACCAUCUCUUUCUUUUUCCUCUUCCUUUUAUUCAGUUUUUCCUCCAGGAUGUCAGUUGUAAUGUAUAGCACAGUGGUGUUAGAUGCAGUAAGAUUGUUGCAGUGUUCUCUAGCUGUACCUCAGGUGCUGCUGAAAGUUGGAAUGGCCGAAAACGGUCUUGAGACCCCCUUAUUAUUACUUUCUGCAGCACAAAUGAAUGUUUUUCUUAAAUAUGUUAUGUUAAAGUUUUGUUUCCUAAUAAAAUGUAUAUAUUAAACAACUGAAGUAUGCACUGGCAAGAAUUU